This 264-nucleotide ribosomal RNA is filed under the name uncultured archaeon. Its description in RNAcentral is "partial 16S ribosomal RNA". It matches the Rfam family "Archaeal small subunit ribosomal RNA", at positions 719 to 982 of the family's 1478-position model. The record is from RNAcentral.
ACACGACUACAUUAGAUACCCGUGUAGUCCCAGCCCUAAACGAUGCGCGUUAGGUGUAUCGGUGACCACGAGUCACCGAGGUGCCGAAGGGAAACCGUGAAACGUGCCGCCUGGGAAGUACGGUCGCAAGGCUGAAACUUAAAGGAAUUGGCGGGAAGCACCACAACGGGUGGAGCCUGCGGUUUAAUUGGACUCAACGCCGGGAAGCUCACCGGAUAAGACAGCGGAAUGAUUGCCGGGCUGAAGACCCUGCAUGACCAGCUG